Molecule: transfer RNA, 81 nt
Organism: Rozella allomycis CSF55
Lineage: Eukaryota; Fungi; Rozellomycota
Rfam family: tRNA
About the family: Transfer RNA (tRNA) molecules are approximately 80 nucleotides in length. Their secondary structure includes four short double-helical elements and three loops (D, anti-codon, and T loops). Further hydrogen bonds mediate the characteristic L-shaped molecular structure. tRNAs have two regions of fundamental functional importance: the anti-codon, which is responsible for specific mRNA codon recognition, and the 3' end, to which the tRNAs corresponding amino acid is attached (by aminoacyl-tRNA synthetases). tRNAs cope with the degeneracy of the genetic code in two manners: having more than one tRNA (with a specific anti-codon) for a particular amino acid; and 'wobble' base-pairing, i.e. permitting non-standard base-pairing at the 3rd anti-codon position.
Source: Rfam
GACAGCGUGUCCGAGUGGUUAAGGAGCAUGCCUAGAAAGCAUGUGGGUUUACCCGCACAGGUUCGAGUCCUGUCGCUGUCG